AUACGGAGGGUGCAAACGUUAAUCGGAAUUACUGGGCGUAAAGCGCGCGUAGGCGGCUAAGUAAGUCGGAUGUGAAAGCCCUGGGCUCAACCUGGGAAUUGCAUUCGAUACUGCUUGGAUAGAGUAUGGUAGAGGGUAGUGGAAUUCCUGGUGUAGCGGUGAAAUGCGUAGAUAUCAGGAGGAACAUCAGUGGCGAAGGCGGCUACCUGGAACAAUACUGACGCUGAGGUGCGAAAGCGUGGGGAGCAAACAGGAUUAGAUACCCCAGUAGUCC
This 274-nucleotide ribosomal RNA is filed under the name uncultured bacterium. RNAcentral's name for it is "partial 16S ribosomal RNA". It matches the Rfam family "Bacterial small subunit ribosomal RNA", at positions 523 to 796 of the family's 1533-position model. The record is from RNAcentral.